AGAACGUAUCAUAGUACUAUUCAGUCUGAACCAGUUAAAAGUGUGACCUUAACUUAGUUUUUUACCUGCAUAAUCACUAAAUGUUACAUCAGUUUGAUUUGCUUUUUAAACAGUUUUGCACGAAAAGAAAAACUAUCAGUAACACAACUACUACUAAUGAACCUACUCCAUUAAUCUAACAGGAAACUGAAAAGUUCAUAUGGCUCUAAUACAUAGCCAUUUAUACAACUCAUUCUUUUUCAGUCCAAUUAUACAGAUAACAACAACCCUAAAAGGAAAACAAAGCAAAUUAAGUUGUCUACUAUCUACUCUACUGAAACAGUUGGAGUACAUAAAUUUCAUGAGGCCAAUGGAUGAUAUAUUUCAUUGCUACAUUUCAACUUCAAAGCUGUAUCAAUACAAUAUUCAAAUGUGUACCUAGAAAUUGAGUUUUCAACAGAAGAAGGAAGUCAGCAACAGUAAUAUAACAACAAUACAACAUCAGUUCACAGCAGCAAUUUGAAGUUCCAAUAGCCAAAAACCAAUUCAAUCAACCCAUGAAGAAUUUUGAACCAACAAGAACCAAAAAGCUAAACCACAAAACCGACUGACUACAGCCCAGAACCAGUUGUAAAACCAGUAGAGCAAUACUCAACUCCCAAAUAGACCCAACUCAAAACCAACUUCAACCAAGUCAGCAAAGAAACCAAUGGAAUAGUCUCUGUAGUGAGUCUCAACAGUAGGCAAUAACAACAACAACAACAACAACAACAAAAACUACCCAGUAAAGUCCCACAUAGCGGGGUCUGGGGAGGGUAAUGUGUACACAGACCUUACCCCUAACCCGAUAGGUCAAAAAGGCUGUUUCCGAUAGACCAUCGGCUCAAAACAACGGAAAUAAAAGAGAAGGAAAACAAGAAAAGAAAAGAGAAUUCAUUAGUAAUUCCAGUAAAAACCAUUAUAGUAACAUAAGCAUAAAAACAAAAGAGAAACAAAAGACAAAAGAUGAAUGACAUGUCGUAACAGUAACUAGAGACUAAGGCAUCUAAGAUAAACAGUAGGCAAUAACAAUUGCAAAAAAAUAAGCACCAAACUUUUAAGGCGGAAAUGAUAUGUAGCAGACCACAACCAGUUUCAACAGAUCAAUGAUCACAGCAGAACAUAAACCAAACUAGGAAGCUCAAUAGAAUAGUGAUUCUAUGAAAACUCUCGAAAAAUGAUCUCUUUGAACUCCUAAAACAUAGUCAGUUCUUUCUAACUCUCCAAGUUGUUUUUAAACUCUCAAGAAUAGAUCACUCUCAAAAGUUCUCUAACACUGAUUAAAGACUGACCUUAAGUUCUAGGAAACUUAGUCUGUUAUCUCAUAAGGUCUGAAAAAAGGAUCCCCAAAACUGUCCAGGUCUGCCUCUAUUUAUGACCAAAACAAGCCCCUUCAUAACCUCUUGGGACACUUAAAUAAUGCAGGGAAAAUGAACUCCCAUUACUGAAUGUUUCCUUGUUUAGUCCAAGGGUUAUGGGUGACUUUCCUUUUUAAUUACUUCCAUUAGACCUCUCCAUCCUAUUUUUUUCCCCACUAUUAAGUGUCUAACCUAUUAUUAAACUCAAUUAAAAAAAAAAAAAAAAACUUUUUUUUUUUUUAAGUAUGGGCAGCCUGCUGUUUGAUCAAUCCUACAUGCUAUUUCUGACUUGAUCCCACCCAUUAAUAUUUAAACAAUUAGUUUAAUGGCACCUUAAUACUCACUGAUACAACACUAAGUCAUUUUCAGGUUUCAAGUCCAAAUUACCCCCUGAAUUCAUCCUAGAAGUCCCACUUCCCUGAACUGGACCUAACCUCUUAACAGGUUUAAACAAACAAACCUGUUUCAACAACAAUCAAACAUCAAAAUCAAUUAAUUACUGAGAUAAAUGAACUGAAGCCAGUGAGAUGAAACAUACAUUUAACUGAACUUGAAACCAAAAGAAAAACCGAGCAAAAGAACUUAAAAGAUUGACAAACGAUAUUCAAAAUGACCAAUUAAUUCAAUUCAAUGUGAUGACCGACUAAACAAUUCAACUCAUUGCAAUGAACUAAUCUCUAAGCUUAAACAUAUCAAACGCUUAGUUCAACACAGAAAAUAGAACAGAAACGAAGCAGGAGGAGAAACAUACUGGAAUUCAAACGAAAAAAUAAAAAGACAAAAGAAAAGAACAUGGGAAUUGAAAAUACCCGCAGGCGGACCCAACUACGAACUGCCUCCUCGUCCCUUUAAGUUGGUCUGAAACAGACUUUAAUCGUGUGUUUUCAAUGUGAAAUCACACGACUAAAGCCCAAUUCGGCCUAAAGAUCUUCAUAUGCCUGUUGAGUUUCGGAUAAACAAAAGUUAGGGCUCAAUUUCUAUGAUUUAAUAUUCCAGACUCUACGCCCACAUUCGAGGGAAACCAGGUGUGGAUUUGGGGUGAGGGACUCAAGGCAGUUUAGGGGUGUAAGUUUGGGGUCAAACGGACAACCUAGGGUUCGAGGUCGAUUCCUUUUAUCGACGAUUCGAAGGGUCCUAUGCGGAUUUGAAGGAAACUGAACGUGGAUUUGGGGUGAGGGGGUCAAGGUGGUUUGGGGGUGUUAAUUGGGUGGCUAUCUAAGAUGGGGCCAUCGGGUUUUGGCUGUGGGAUAUGGUGGCGGCUAGGGUUUUGGUGUUUGGUCCAUUGAGGGAGACGAAAAGAACACNNNN
RNAcentral lists this long non-coding RNA (2684 nucleotides) under Nicotiana benthamiana. RNAcentral describes it as "long non-coding RNA (NBEN_LNC021832)". Lineage: Eukaryota; Viridiplantae; Streptophyta; Magnoliopsida; Solanales; Solanaceae. The record is from RNAcentral.